RNAcentral lists this long non-coding RNA (227 nucleotides) under Brassica napus (rape). RNAcentral's name for it is "long non-coding RNA (BNAP_LNC020276)". Lineage: Eukaryota; Viridiplantae; Streptophyta; Magnoliopsida; Brassicales; Brassicaceae. The record is from RNAcentral.
UUUUGAGUUUAGGGUUUGUCUUCACUUCAGAUUCCACCAAUGAUAUAUAGCUUUAUUGUGAUGUAAAAUAUAGAUAGGAGCCCAUGAUUCGUAAUUUUAACUGCAACUAAAAUUUUAAUUCAUAGUGUCUAUAGCUUCCAUAGUUCCAUAUCUAUACUAUUAAAGGGAAAGAUUAUGCCCUCACUUUUCCAAUUAAUUACAAAAAUCUCCAUUACCUUUUUUAAUUG